RNAcentral lists this unclassified non-coding RNA (275 nucleotides) under uncultured fungus. Its description in RNAcentral is "sequence contains ITS1". The record is from RNAcentral. Lineage: Eukaryota; Fungi.
GUAUUUCAAAUGUUUCAAAAGACAUACAAUGUCUAACACAAACAUUCUGGUAACAAGCAUAAAUGAAGAGACAUAAACCUGAAGAUACAAGAACAGCUGCAAAGCAAUUCUCAAUCCAAGAAAUCAAUCUUGAUGAAAUCAAUCAGGUUUACAAACAAUGCACAGGUGGUUAAAAAUCAGGCAUGUGUGCCUUUGCUUGCUUAGAAAAGCCAGCAAAACACACAUGACUAAAUUUUGUUUCAAUAAUGAUCCUUCCGCAGGUUCACCUACGGAAA